This 600-nucleotide ribosomal RNA is filed under the name uncultured marine bacterium. RNAcentral's name for it is "bacterial SSU rRNA". It matches the Rfam family "Bacterial small subunit ribosomal RNA", at positions 8 to 654 of the family's 1533-position model. The record is from RNAcentral.
AGAGUUUGAUCCUGGCUCAGAACGUACGCUGGCGGCACGCCUAACACAUGCAAGUCGAACGCAGUAGCAAUACUGAGUGGCAAACGGGUGAGUAUAAUGUGGGAAUCUGCCUUUUGGUUUGGAAUAACACGGGGAAACUUGUGCUAAUACCGAAUAAGCCCUUACGGGGAAAGUUUUAAUGCCGAAAGAUGAGCCCGCACUUGAUUAGCUAGUUGGUAAGGUAAAAGCUUACCAAGGCAACGAUCAAUAGCUGUUCUUAGAGGAAGACCAGCCACAUUGGGACUGAGACACGGCCCAGAUUCCUACGGGAGGCAGCAGUGGGGAAUCUUGCACAAUGGGGGAAACCCUGAUGCAGCGAUGCCGCGUGAGUGAAGAAGGCCUUUGGGUUGUAAAGCUCUUUCGUCGGGGAAGAAAAUGACUGUACCCGAAUAAGAAGGUCCGGCUAACUUCGUGCCAGCAGCCGCGGUAAUACGAAGGGACCUAGCGUAGUUCGGAAUUACUGGGCUUAAAGAGUUCGUAGGUGGUUAAAAAAGUUGGUGGUGAAAUCCCAGAGCUUAACUCUGGAACUGCCAUCAAAACUUUUUAGCUAGAGUAUGAUAG